GAUGAAGAACGUAGCGAAAUGCGAUACGUAAUGUGAAUUGCAGAUUUCAGUGAAUCAUCGAAUCUUUGAACGCACAUUGCGCCCGCUAGUAUUCUGGCGGGCAUGCCUGUUCGAGCGUCAUUUCAACCAUCAAGCCCUAGGCUUGCGUUGGAGCCCUGCGGCUGCCGCAGGCUCCCAAAUCCAGUGGCGGGCUCGUCGUCGUACCGAGUGCAGUAAACAUCCUCGCUCAGGGAACGUGACGGGUUCUUGCCGUGAAACCCCCCACAUAUCAAGGUUGACCUCGGAUCAGGUAGGAAUACCCGCUGAGCUUAAGCAUAUCAAUAAGCGGAGGA
This 332-nucleotide unclassified non-coding RNA is filed under the name soil metagenome. Its description in RNAcentral is "partial contains 5.8S ribosomal RNA, internal transcribed spacer 2, and large subunit ribosomal RNA". The stretch from base 1 to 120 matches the Rfam family "5.8S ribosomal RNA", at positions 35 to 154 of the family's 154-position model. The record is from RNAcentral.